Hypanus sabinus (Atlantic stingray) is the source of this 569-nucleotide long non-coding RNA. RefSeq lists it as uncharacterized. The record is from RefSeq and is a predicted model, not a curated record. The transcript is spliced from 3 exons. NCBI's taxonomy places the organism in Eukaryota, Metazoa, Chordata, Chondrichthyes, Myliobatiformes, Dasyatidae.
UGAGAGUGUCCCUGAGGACGGCCUGCUACCGGGAGCUGGAGCUGUCAGUCUCUGUUCUCAGAAUCAAAGGAAGUUUCCCGAAACUCAAAGUGCAAAGUACCUUAUGUCACUGGACAGUCAGAAAGAAACUCUACCCGGCAACAGGAUUGAACCAAUGGAAUCAAUUCACUAUCAACAAAAAAAAAUCAAUCCUGGAAUAUUUAUGAUGAACAUGAGAAAAAAUGAGUACUCUUUAUCUGUUGGAUGAAAAAGCAUCAAAUAUCAACCAAUAUUGCAUUUCACUAGAAAAGAUUGGAUAAAGGAGGCAGAUAUUACUAAAAGUCAAUCAUUUAAAAGACGAGUGAGCUAAACAACAGUUGAAGUCUCCUCCUAAAACCAUAUAAUACAGACUUAAAUCUGGUAAAAGUGGAAAAAAAGCAUUCAGAAAACCUGAAUCAUCUAUAUUCAGGGCAUACAAAUUAGCAAAGACAUUCAUUUAUUAUCUAAUUUCCCUGAGACUAUAACAAAACAUCCAUUAGUGUCGGACAAUAUAUUAUGUUCAACGAAAGAAACUGAGUUGUCUAUAAGAA